AUGUACCCCAAGCCGGUGAGGUACCCUUCGGGGAGCCAGCCGUCUAAGGUGGGACAGAUGAUUAGGGUGAAGUCGUAACAAGGUAGCCGUAGGAGAACCUGCGGCUGGAUCACCUCCUUUCUAAGGAAUAAUACGGAAAACCUUGUACAUUUGCGAAAUCAAAACUUUGUUUAGUUUUGAGAGGUCUACUCUCAAACUUUGUUCUUUGAAAACUGGAUAAUAAGUAAUAUAUUAGUUUUAAAAGCCGAGCAAUUAUUGCGUUUGGUAUGAAGGGUUGGAAUACUUUUCUGAAGACGGCGGAAUCACCGAAGUUUUGUCAUGNAGUCUCUUUGUGUGGCAACCUCUC
RNAcentral lists this unclassified non-coding RNA (346 nucleotides) under Latilactobacillus sakei. RNAcentral's name for it is "Lactobacillus sakei partial 16S-23S ribosomal RNA intergenic spacer". The stretch from base 1 to 120 matches the Rfam family "Bacterial small subunit ribosomal RNA", at positions 1415 to 1533 of the family's 1533-position model. The record is from RNAcentral. Lineage: Bacteria; Bacillati; Bacillota; Bacilli; Lactobacillales; Lactobacillaceae.